AUUGAACGCUGGCGGCAGGCCUAACACAUGCAAGUCGAGCGGAUGAAGGGAGCUUGCUCCUGGAUUCAGCGGCGGACGGGUGAGUAAUGCCUAGGAAUCUGCCUGGUAGUGGGGGAUAACGUCCGGAAACGGGCGCUAAUACCGCAUACGUCCUGAGGGAGAAAGUGGGGGAUCUUCGGACCUCACGCUAUCAGGUGAGCCUAGGUCGGAUUAGCUAGUUGGUGGGGUAAAGGCCUACCAAGGCGACGAUCCGUAACUGGUCUGAGAGGAUGAUCAGUCACACUGGAACUGAGACACGGUCCAGACUCCUACGGGAGGCAGCAGUGGGGAAUAUUGGACAAUGGGCGAAAGCCUGAUCCAGCCAUGCCGCGUGUGUGAAGAAGGUCUUCGGAUUGUAAAGCACUUUAAGUUGGGAGGAAGGGCAGUAAGUUAAUACCUUGCUGCUUUGACGUUACCAACAGAAUAAGCACCGGCUAACUUCGUG
This 484-nucleotide ribosomal RNA is filed under the name uncultured bacterium. Its description in RNAcentral is "partial 16S ribosomal RNA". It matches the Rfam family "Bacterial small subunit ribosomal RNA", at positions 30 to 507 of the family's 1533-position model. The record is from RNAcentral.